CCAUUUUAUGUUCAUCUUUCUUCACCGAAUGUAGAAAAGAAAAACAAGGUUUGAAAGCUUGAAACAUUCGGCCAUUUUGAAGCUUAAUUCAAGAUCAAGAAUUAAAGAAAUCGGAUUUGGAUCGGGGAAAUACAAAAGUGGUCGAGUAGCCGAUUUAACAGUCGACGACAUCCAAGGUAAGUCUAAUAGCAAUUUAAAUGUUAUUAAAUUGGAAUUUAUAUAAAUAUAUCUAUCAUACAUUUAGUAAGCUGGAACUAAAAGUAUAUAAAUUGAAUAAAACUUGGUGAUUUUUCUAUGUGAUAGCCGAACAUAGAAAUUAAUUUUGGGAGGUUGAUAUUAAUGGUAUAAAUUACAUGUAUAUUAGCUAAAGUAUGCUUUAAGUUCAAUGAUAUGAAACUAAUAGUAGAAUGUACAUGGAUAUGUAGUUCGAAUGUAAGAUUUAAUUUCUUGAGUUGAAUUUAAAGUUAUGAAUUAUAUAUAUAAAGUUUGAAUGUAUGAUACAAGUUCUUUGAUUCUUUGAGUUGAACUUAAUAUUAUGAAUUAUAUAUAUAUGCACAUAUGGUUCGAAUAUAUAUAUUUAAAGUUCUUGAGCUGAAUUUAAUGUAUGAAUUUUACUUACAUAUGUGGUUCGAAUAUAGGUUACAAAUUCUUUGAGCUGAAUUUUAAUGUUGUAAAUUAUACAUAUGUGGUUCGAAUGUUUGUUUGCUAUGGAGAAUUGAAUAUAGUUCAAUUCUUACGGAGAUACGGUUAUUGAGUAAGACUUAGGUAAACAUAAAGAAUUAUACGAAAGAUCAUCUUUGUAUAUGAGAUUUUCAGGCUUAAUGCCUAGCAGGCUUGAUGCCGGUGGAUUAUUUCAGGCUUAAUGCCUAGCAGGCUUGAUGCCGGUGGAUUAUUUCAGGCUUAAUGCCUAGCAGGCUUGAUGCCGGUGGAUUAUUUCAGGCUUAAUGCCUAGCAGGCUUGAUGCCGGUGAAUUAUUUUAGACUUUAUGUCUAGCAGGCUUGAUGCCGGUGAAUUAAUUCCGACUUUAUGUCUAGCAGGCUUUGUGCCGGUGAAAUGAAUCGGGCUUUGUGCCUAGCAGGCUUUAUGCCGGUGUUUUAUAUAGGGCUCUAUGUUUUAUAAAUUUUAUAUGAGCAAUAGUAAAAGCAAAUAAAUGUGUUAAGAAAGUUAAAUUAUUCAGGUAUGUGUUAGCCAUUUGCUUAAUUGCUGAUGAGGUAAGUUGAUUAUUUUAAUUUGAUAAUAGUUUCAAAUGAAAUAUAGAGUAUGAGUUAAUCAUUUGAGUAUAAGCAUGUUUUAGCAUAAUGAUUUAUUGAAUAUUCGGCUUUGCUAAAUAUUUAUGUGUAUUUGGCCAUAUGGUUUGUUUAUAUGAAAAUACAAUGUGAUUUUUAUUAAAGUGUUAUAUGGUACAAAAUAUUAUGAUAUUUGGUUUAUUUUAACUUAAUGAUGGAAUAAGUAUUAAUAUAUAUAUAAAUGAAUUUUUGCUUAUGACUUACUAAGCUUUAAAUAGCUUACUGUGUGUAUGUUGUUCUUCGUUUUAUAGAUUUUUGGAAGUUGGUUACGAGCUCGGGGAUCGUCAAAGAAGAUUAUCACACUAUCGACUCCUCUCGGUAUUUUGUAAAUUUUGAAUUCGAUCUUAUGGCAUGUAUAGCGUAGAUGAAAUACUAGAAUUUAGAUUAUGUAAUAUUAAGCCAUGCGAAAAUGGCUUAAUUUUCUUGUUUGUGUUCGGUUUUGGGCUGAAUUAUGGUUUACGCAUACUUUAAUCAUGGAUUAGUAUUUUAUGGUUAGUAUUUAUAUGGUAAUAUAUAUAUGUGCAUGGUGAUUUCAUUCAAGUGUUUCGGUAAUUAUGUGGUUGAAGUAAGUAAGUUUGUUAUAUUCAUUAAGAUAAAUAAUGUUAAGUUAAGUGUCUAGGUUACGUAUUAUAUAUGAAAUAUAUAUGAUUUGGUUGGAUUUAGUAGUUAAGUGAAUAUAGGAGAUGAUUUAUAAAUUGAAGUAUGCUUGUAAAUGUUGGUGAUUAAUUACGUUUGGCGUAUUGAUAGAGUAAACGAAUGUAUAUAUAUUCAAAUGUGUAUUGAUUAGGAUUUAUGGCUUAGUAUAUAUAAUGGAUUAAUUUAUUUAUAAAAAAAAUUGAAUUGAGUCAGGUUUUGAUCGGUAAUGCCUUAUAACACUAAUCCGGCGACGGACACGAGUCGGGGUGUUACAUUUGAUUGGUAUCAGAGCUACGGUUUAGUCGGUUCUAGGACUAACGUAGUGUGUGUGAGUCUAGCUAUACAUGCCAUAUUUAACCUACGAUAGUGUGAUAUCUCCCGACUCUGACGAAAAUUGUUUUGAUGAGACAGAUAUGUUUUCCAACCGAGCUAAUUUUGAUAGUACAGAAGUAAAUACUCAAAUGUUUGAGUGAAAAUGUGUUGAUGAUGAGUUGAGACUCAUGAAGGUAUGAAUAAGGAUAUAAGAUAUUUUGUUGUUGAUAAAUGUUGUAAUGAUAUGAGUAUAUGAGUUGUGAUAUGUGGCCUACGAUUGCUAUAUGAAUGCUUUGAUUGUGAAUUUGUAAUUUGAGUUGGCAUAUGGAUUAUGUGUUGAGGAAAAAUGUGAUUAUAAGCAAAUGUUUAUUAAAUGUUUCGAGAAUGUGAAAUUAUUAAUAAAUUGGCUAUUUGUAAUAGUAUGUGUUAUGUGCAUUUAUGUCCGAGUUAAAUUUGAAGUUUUACUACCCUCACCCCUUAUCAGUAAAAUGUUACAAUGAAAUCUGUAAGAUUUGGAUCGAAUAAGCUCACAAGUGUGGAGUUACAGAGGUUUGUGUUUGAAAGAUUACUAAUGUGGUCGAAUAAAAGAAUGGGUCAGCAAAUUGAGAUAGUGCUAUAAGAGAUAUUGAAUCGUUUUAAUGGCCAUUCGUAUUAUGCAAAGUCACUGUUAACUAAGAAGUUGAAAUUGAUGAAAUAAAAGUAUUCAGGUAUGUUAUUAGUAUUAAUUGGAAGUUUUUCCUGAAUUGAUUUCUUUUAGAGAUGGGAUAAUGUGAAAAAUUUCUGAUAAAAAAAUUAGAUAGUGGAAUAAUGAUUGAAUUGUGUUGAUAGUUGAGUACAAUGGUUAUAGUCGGGCAAUUACUAUGAUUCUUUUUGGGUAUUCUGUGUGUACAUUUAUCUUCAGAAGUAUAUGUGAUUUUUUUUUCAAUUCAAAAAAAAAAAAAGAAGAAGAAGAAAAUUCUUAUCGUGUGAAAACGCUAACUAAAUGUACCGAUAGAUGAAAGCAUGGUUGAUUUGUUUGGGUUAUGUUCGACAUUGUUAUCUCUUUCACUGAUAAUUUGUUUCAUUGUGUGGAUACGAAAGUCGAUGGUAAAAUCUGAAUGAGAUCAAUAUUCUAUUUCUACUGGUUAUUGUUCUGUUGAAUAUAUGCGAAGAUUAUAUUGCUUUUGUUACUGUGGAUUUCAGUAUUUAAGAAUGACAUCGUUCUUUCUGGACAUUUUCUAGGAUAUCAUUGGAAUUUUAUAUCAUUUUAUAUAAGUUGUAAUUUUUUUUCUUAGAUAUCUUAUGUGACUCCAUAUGCUGAAAUUUCGCUAUUCUGGUUUUCUUAUGAUUCCACGUGAUUAUCUGCAAGAGAUCACUAUUUGGCAAAGAGGAUUAUGUUUAUUAUGAUUUUAAUUUCUGACUUGAAAUGUGAUUGUACAGUGGUACCAUCCCCAGAGUUAUAGAAGUUUUGUUUCUGCAAUGGUUGCUAUUUAAAUCAUAUUUGAUUUUUCUCUGUGUCCAAAUGCUUCAUUAACAGUUGGGAUAAUAUCUAUUUAUAGGGUUGAGACAUUGUUCUUAUUAAGGCACAAUGAUUUCUAUUUGGUUAAGGUAAUUUCUGUAUAAUUUAGAGUUUCGAUGAAUAAUAUAUGAGAUAGCUUCAUUAUAAACUCUUUUCUAGUUCUCAUAAAGGUUUAGCAUUGAUAAAAGUGAAAAUGAUAGAAGAAUAAUAUUAAAUCUAUGAAAUAAUAUGUCUGGGUUAUCCUUAUCAAUGAGAAGAAAAGAUUCAUUCGAAAAGACUGAUUCAGUGGUUUAGUCGAAUUUGAAUUAUUUGUUUGAAAAGAUAAUUGAGUUAUAUGUGUCUAAAUCUAUUCAUAUGUAUGGAAAUAAAUUUUGAAUGAACAUGUGUGAAUUGAGGGAUAAUUUGGAAGAAGAACUUGUAUUCUUGAAGACUUGAUACCGAAUUAUAUCUAUCGGAAUGAUCCUAUCUGGGAAAUGUUGUGAUAAAUUAAAGUUAGUUUGAUUGUUGAAGUUUUCUUUUGCCCGAAGACAAUGUCGACCGAAAUAUCAGUUCUGGUUCAGUUUGAGUUUAAUAAAGAGAUUAUGAUUUUCGUCCUCAUGUUAAUGAAUGGUUCGAAAUGUAUUUCAAUACAAGAGUGUAUAGAGAUAUCUUCUAAUUUUAUACAGUUAAAGCUGCAUAAAAGGAGUUAUGUGAAAUAUUUGAUGAUUAUAAGAGUUUAAAAUGUUUAAUGUCAGAUAAAGAUUUGAACUAGGCAAAGCAAGGUUAGUUUCAAUCGUCGAAAAACUUUUAAGUCUGUAAGUGAUUCUUAUCCGAGGAAAAUGAUUAAAGUUUCGGAUAUUUUGAUUGGGCGAUGAAUACGUGAUUGAUCUUAUCACGUAAUGAACUGUUGAUAGAUGAAUUAGAGGCUAAAUAAAUGUUUAUAUAAUGAAGUUGUGAAAUUUAGAAAUGUGUCAGCGAAUUAUAAGUUAAAAAGGAGUUCAACAUAAAUUGAUUUCCGGCUUAGAACCUUAGAUGUGGUAUUGAUGAUUAUUUGUUAUUUCGAGAUAGAGUGUGCAUACUGGAAGGUUCUACGAAUAUAUAUAACAAUUGUUACAAGAAAAUUUCACUGGUGUUCAUACGGUAUUAACAAGAUGUACAACAGUCCGAGAUAUGAUAUAGAUGAUGAGUGUGAAAUGUGAUAUUUCUGACUUUGUUGAUUAUAGAAAUAGAGAGUUGAUGAAUUUUGUAUAAGGAUUUUCUUAUCAUUAAAAAAGAUAAAGUUAUCUUAAAUAUGGUUAACUCUCUGAAGAAAUCUCUCUGUAAGUAUAGAUUUUUUUUUUCUUUUGAUAAAACAGUUAAGUUAUGUGUUUCUAUGUUGGUAAAUCUGUCUAUGGUGUCAGUUAUCAUUGUUUUGGAUUGAGAUUUGAAAUUUAUAUGGUAAUUCUAAGAGAGAUUACAGUAAUCUAUGAGUAUGAAAUUGCAUUGAAAUCGGGAAACGCAAACCAAAUUCUUGAAAUAUUUAUUUGUCACUAUGUUUUAGAAUUGCAAAGUAACUAAGAAAGAUGUUUGCUAUUAUAAGCAAUUAUCGAACUCCGUUAUUUCAGGAUUGAGUUUUGUGAGAAAAUGAUUCACAGGAUUAAAAUCAUCAGAGAAUGUGAGUAGAAAAUGGAAAAAAAAAAUUUAAUACAGUUAAGCAGUUUCAGCUAGGGAUGAUGUACACUGAAAGUUAGAUCAGAAUUUUAGUUGUGAGAUUAAAGAGAUUUGAAAUUUGAAGCUAUGUGUGAAUUUGAAAUAUAUGAUGUGAAAGUGUUUCGCGAUAGUCUAAAAAAAAAAAACAACAUUGAAUCGUCAGAAAUUGUAUGCAGACUUGAAAAGAAAAGAUAUAGAGUUUCAGAUUGGAGAUAAAGUCUUUUUGUAGGUAUCACAGUGGAAGAAAAUACUUAGAUUUGAUCGUAAAAAGAAAUUGAGUGUGAGAUUUAUUGGGUCGUAUGAGAUUAUAGAGCGUAUCGGGCUGGUUGCUUAUAGAUUGUAGUUGCCACCUGAGCUAGAAAAGAUUCACAAUGUAUUCCAUGUUUCGAUGCUCCAUAGAUACCUAUCUAAUCCUUCACAUGUGAUUAGUCCCACAGAGAUUGAGAUGCAAUCUGAUAUGACAUAUGAAGAGGAACCGAUUUGUAUUCUGACUCGUGAUAUUAAAGAAUUGAGAAAUAAGAAAAUUUAGUUAGUCAAAGUACUAUGGCAAAAACACAGAGUUGAGGAGGCAACUUGGGAGUCAGAAGAUACAAUGGAAGAGCGUUAUCCAAACCUAUUCACCGGUAAGAUUUUCGGGGACGAAAAUCCCUAAGAGGGGGAGAGUUGUAACAGCCCGAUUUUGACCCUAAUCGGAACAGUGGUUUUGGGACCACAAAAUCGAGUCUGAAAAAUAUUUUAAUAUUAUUUUCUGUGUUAAUUAUGUGUGAAUUUACAUAUGUGAAAGUUUCGUGAAUUAAUUUUAUGUUUGUGCGCUUAAUUUUAAAAAAAUGGCUUAAUCGCGUAAAAUGAAAAUUUGAUGGUUAAUUAAGAAAGUGCCUAAUUGUUGUUGUCUUUAUAAGUUUGAGGCCUUAUGUUGUAAUUUAGCCAAUAGUAAUAGGUAGUGGAUGGCAUAAUGAUGAUAUGUGAUUUAUAUAUAUAUAAAAUAAAAGUUAAAAUAAUAAUAUAAUAAUAUAUGUUAUAAUAAAACAAAACAUUAAAAGCCACCAUUUUAUGUUCAUCUUUCUUCACCGAAUGUAGAAAAGAAAAACAAGGUUUGAAAGCUUGAAACAUUCGGCCAUUUUGAAGCUUAAUUCAAGAUCAAGAAUUAAAGAAAUCGGAUUUGGAUCGGGGAAAUACAAAAGUGGUCGAGUAGCCGAUUUAACAGUCGACGACAUCCAAGGUAAGUCUAAUAGCAAUUUAAAUGUUAUUAAAUUGGAAUUUAUAUAAAUAUAUCUAUCAUACAUUUAGUAAGCUGGAACUAAAAGUAUAUAAAUUGAAUAAAACUUGGUGAUUUUUCUAUGUGAUAGCCGAACAUAGAAAUUAAUUUUGGGAGGUUGAUAUUAAUGGUAUAAAUUACAUGUAUAUUAGCUAAAGUAUGCUUUAAGUUCAAUGAUAUGAAACUAAUAGUAGAAUGUACAUGGAUAUGUAGUUCGAAUGUAAGAUUUAAUUUCUUGAGUUGAAUUUAAAGUUAUGAAUUAUAUAUAUAAAGUUUGAAUGUAUGAUACAAGUUCUUUGAUUCUUUGAGUUGAACUUAAUAUUAUGAAUUAUAUAUAUAUGCACAUAUGGUUCGAAUAUAUAUAUUUAAAGUUCUUGAGCUGAAUUUAAUGUAUGAAUUUUACUUACAUAUGUGGUUCGAAUAUAGGUUACAAAUUCUUUGAGCUGAAUUUUAAUGUUGUAAAUUAUACAUAUGUGGUUCGAAUGUUUGUUUGCUAUGGAGAAUUGAAUAUAGUUCAAUUCUUACGGAGAUACGGUUAUUGAGUAAGACUUAGGUAAACAUAAAGAAUUAUACGAAAGAUCAUCUUUGUAUAUGAGAUUUUCAGGCUUAAUGCCUAGCAGGCUUGAUGCCGGUGGAUUAUUUCAGGCUUAAUGCCUAGCAGGCUUGAUGCCGGUGGAUUAUUUCAGGCUUAAUGCCUAGCAGGCUUGAUGCCGGUGGAUUAUUUCAGGCUUAAUGCCUAGCAGGCUUGAUGCCGGUGAAUUAUUUUAGACUUUAUGUCUAGCAGGCUUGAUGCCGGUGAAUUAAUUCCGACUUUAUGUCUAGCAGGCUUUGUGCCGGUGAAAUGAAUCGGGCUUUGUGCCUAGCAGGCUUUAUGCCGGUGUUUUAUAUAGGGCUCUAUGUUUUAUAAAUUUUAUAUGAGCAAUAGUAAAAGCAAAUAAAUGUGUUAAGAAAGUUAAAUUAUUCAGGUAUGUGUUAGCCAUUUGCUUAAUUGCUGAUGAGGUAAGUUGAUUAUUUUAAUUUGAUAAUAGUUUCAAAUGAAAUAUAGAGUAUGAGUUAAUCAUUUGAGUAUAAGCAUGUUUUAGCAUAAUGAUUUAUUGAAUAUUCGGCUUUGCUAAAUAUUUAUGUGUAUUUGGCCAUAUGGUUUGUUUAUAUGAAAAUACAAUGUGAUUUUUAUUAAAGUGUUAUAUGGUACAAAAUAUUAUGAUAUUUGGUUUAUUUUAACUUAAUGAUGGAAUAAGUAUUAAUAUAUAUAUAAAUGAAUUUUUUCUUAUGACUUACUAAGCUUUAAAUAGCUUACUGUGCGUAUGUUGUUCUUCGUUUUAUAGAUUUUUGGAAGUUGGUUACGAGCUCGGGGAUCGUCAGAGAAGAUUAUCACACUAUCGACUCCUCUCGGUAUUUUGUAAAUUUUGAAUUCGAUCUUAUGGCAUGUAUAGCGUAGAUGAAAU
This 8100-nucleotide long non-coding RNA is filed under the name Gossypium barbadense (sea-island cotton). RNAcentral's name for it is "long non-coding RNA (GBAR_LNC006862)". Lineage: Eukaryota; Viridiplantae; Streptophyta; Magnoliopsida; Malvales; Malvaceae. The record is from RNAcentral.